UUUAUUGGUUUUUUGUUAGCU
This 21-nucleotide non-coding RNA is filed under the name Caenorhabditis elegans. Lineage: Eukaryota; Metazoa; Nematoda; Chromadorea; Rhabditida; Rhabditidae. The record is from RNAcentral.